GAAGGAGGGGGCACAUUGAAAGGCAGCCGGACACGGAAGUGCUCGGCCCCGCACCAGACACGGCGUGGAGGGGAAGCGAAGGUUCGGAAGGGCAAAGCGAGAGUCCCGUUCGUCCCCGUCACCACCCCGCGGCCCUCCCGGACAGGGCCGGCCCGCUGCCCUCACUCCCGUACGAGGGUCGCCCAGUCCCCACGGCUCUCGGCUCUCAGCUCUCAGCGGUCAAACCGUUGGGCUCCUCGGGCGAAAAGGGACGCGCCCGAGAAGACUUACACUUCCAUGACGUCCCGCCUCGUCGCCCCUAGCUGCCAGCAGACAAAGAACCUCACACUUCACAGCUGUCUCCGCCGCCACCAACAGCGCCAAGGUGCCAGCUCCGCGCGCCAAGGUGCUCGCCGGGAUCGCCGCGCUGCA
This 411-nucleotide long non-coding RNA is filed under the name Homo sapiens (human). Its description in RNAcentral is "novel transcript, antisense to CRCP". The record is from RNAcentral. Lineage: Eukaryota; Metazoa; Chordata; Mammalia; Primates; Hominidae.